GAUGAACGCUGGCGGCGUGCCUAAUACAUGCAAGUCGAGCGAACAGACGAGGAGCUUGCUCCUCUGACGUUAGCGGCGGACGGGUGAGUAACACGUGGAUAACCUACCUAUAAGACUGGGAUAACUUCGGGAAACCGGAGCUAAUACCGGAUAAUAUAUUGAACCGCAUGGUUCAAUAGUGAAAGACGGUUUUGCUGUCACUUAUAGAUUGAUCCGCGCCGCAUUAGCUAGUUGGUAAGGUAACGGCUUACCAAGGCAACGAUGCGUAGCCGACCUGAGAGGGUGAUCAGCCACACUGGAACUGAGACACGGUCCAGACUCCUACGGGAGGCAGCAGUAGGGAAUCUUGCGCAAUGGGCGAUAGCCUGACGGAGCAACGCCGCGUGAGUGAUGAAGGUCUUCGGAUCGUAAAACUCUGUUAUUAGGGAAGAACAAAUGUGUAAGUAACUAUGCACGUCUUGACGGUACCUAAUCAGAAAGCCACGGCUAACUACGUG
This 497-nucleotide ribosomal RNA is filed under the name uncultured bacterium. RNAcentral's name for it is "partial 16S ribosomal RNA". It matches the Rfam family "Bacterial small subunit ribosomal RNA", at positions 28 to 507 of the family's 1533-position model. The record is from RNAcentral.